RNAcentral lists this ribosomal RNA (465 nucleotides) under uncultured bacterium. RNAcentral's name for it is "partial 16S ribosomal RNA". It matches the Rfam family "Bacterial small subunit ribosomal RNA", at positions 28 to 507 of the family's 1533-position model. The record is from RNAcentral.
GACGAACGCUGGCGGCGUGCUUAACACAUGCAAGUCGAACGGAAAGGCCCCCUUGUGGGGUACUCGAGUGGCGAACGGGGGAGUAACACGUGAGUAACCUACCCUUGACUUUGGGAUAACUUCAGGAAACUGGGGCUAAUACCGUAUAGGAGCUCCUGCUGCAUGGUGGGGGUUGGAAAGUUUCGGCGGUUGGGGAUGGACUCGCGGCUUAUCAGCUUGUUGGUGGGGUAGUGGCUCACCAAGGCUUUGACGGGUAGCCGGCCUGAGAGGGUGACCGGCCACAUUGGGACUGAGGUACGGCCCAGACUCCUACGGGAGGCAGCAGUGGGGAAUAUUGCACAAUGGGCGGAAGCCUGAUGCAGCAACGCCGCGUGCGGGAUGACGGCCUUCGGGUUGUAAACCGCUUUCGCCUGUGACGAAGCGUGAGUGACGGUAAUGGGUAAAGAAGCACCGGCUAACUACGUG